Molecule: ribosomal RNA, 207 nt
Filed under: uncultured delta proteobacterium
Lineage: Bacteria; Deltaproteobacteria
Description: partial 16S ribosomal RNA
Rfam family: Bacterial small subunit ribosomal RNA
Source: RNAcentral
CGUGUAGGCGGGAAGACAAGUCUGAUGUGAAAGCCCCGGGCUUAACCUGGGAAGUGCAUUGGAAACUGUUUUCUUGAGUGCUGGAGAGGAAGGGGGAAUUCCCGGUGUAGAGGUGAAAUUCGUAGAGAUCGGGAGGAAUACCAGUGGCGAAGGCGCCCUUCUGGACGGCAACUGACGCUGAGACGCGAAAGCGUGGGGAGCAAACAG